This 305-nucleotide ribosomal RNA is filed under the name uncultured bacterium. RNAcentral describes it as "bacterial SSU rRNA". It matches the Rfam family "Bacterial small subunit ribosomal RNA", at positions 333 to 654 of the family's 1533-position model. The record is from RNAcentral.
GGUUACCUACGGGGCGCAGCAGUAGGGAAUAUUGCUCAAUGGGGGAAACCCUGAAGCAGCAACGCCGCGUGGAGGAUGAAGGUUUUCGGAUUGUAAACUCCUUUUCUUAGUGAGGAAUAAUGACGGUAACUAAGGAGCAAGCCACGGCUAACUACGUGCCAGCAGCCGCGGUAAUACGUAGGUGGCAAGCGUUGUCCGGAAUUACUGGGUGUAAAGGGAGCGUAGGCGGGAAGCCAAGUCAGCUGUGAAAACUACGGGCUUAACCUGUAGACUGCAGUUGAAACUGGCUUUCUUGAGUGAAGUAG